CUCUGGGGAGACACAGCAGGAAAAACUUUUUUUCAGUGGCUUGGACUGGAGUUUGGAAAUGCUGUUCCAUCGUCUGAAAAACUAAUUUCUACCUGUUCUGAAUCGAAAACAGCCAGAUGUCUUCCACUUGCAGUUGCUGGUUUGAAUAUGUCCUCUAAUAGGAAGAGGAAUUGUGCCUUGGAGUUUGUCCAGUUGCAGCCGUAUUCCCAAGGAAAGAAAAAAAAGCUGAAAUAAUUUCUGGACAAGAAGAGAACUUCCCUGGGGAGGAGGUGAGGAAUCAUGUUACACCAAACCAGAAAGCGACUACUUAAAUAGCUCUCCUCAGUACAGUGCCGUUCUAAGCCUGUUGCCAAAGACCUGUCUAUUGGGUCCGCAUCAGCACGAGACUCCAUUACUUGGGCAUGGAAAGGCCCAUCUGAGGCAUUCUGUGUGCUAAAAAUAG
This is a non-coding RNA of Manis javanica (Malayan pangolin), 442 nucleotides long. NCBI's taxonomy places the organism in Eukaryota, Metazoa, Chordata, Mammalia, Pholidota, Manidae. The record is from RefSeq and is a predicted model, not a curated record.